UGUUGACCUCGGAUCAGGUAGGAAUACCGCUGAACUUAAGCUAUCAAAG
This 49-nucleotide ribosomal RNA is filed under the name Fusarium verticillioides. RNAcentral's name for it is "partial 28S ribosomal RNA". The record is from RNAcentral. Lineage: Eukaryota; Fungi; Ascomycota; Sordariomycetes; Hypocreales; Nectriaceae.